UGGAUAUAAACUCAUCUAGAGGUUUGAAGCAAGAUAUAAAUGGCUUCAUACUAGUAAAUUUUUCAAGGUUGAUACAUACUGGUGUGUUAUUGAAAGAUGACCCAUUUGUUUUUUCAUCUCAAGCUCAACAAGUGUUCUUCAUGCAAGACUCGAAGGAUAAAGAUUGGUCUGUUGUUAUUAAGACUAAACCUAGGGACUUGUAUGAUAUGGGAAAAGGGUUAGCAGAGGAGGAUGAUGAGACUUAUACUCAGUGUAUGCCUUUUAAUGUUCCACCAAUUGAUGAACUGAAUUUUACUAGUUUGGUUAGGAUGGAUGUUGAAUGAGAGCUGGCUAGUUUCUUAAUGAUUACAACAUGCCGCGAGGAAAACGUUUCAGAAAUAUUGAGUUUCAGCACACAUCCGUGGGAUCUACUUCUGAUCGUUCCCAGCAGCCCGAUGUGCCCUAUACUCAGUCCGGGUCCCAGUCUGAGCACGCCCCACCUGCAGAUCGUCCAGACACGGAUGACGUGGACGUCCUGGAUGGACUAGGGAGAGUGAGGAGAACACGAGGGCCCACUCGAGCACGAGACGUAUGGACCCUACCUGAGGAUGAGAAGAUUGUCGUCCAUUGCAACGAACUGGGGCAGCCCAUUAAGAAUGCAGCAAGCAUUUUAUCCACUUUUUUUAGGAUCGGUUGCGCGGAAGGGACAAUUGUGUCCGCUCAACUAUACGAAAUGGAAUGAAAUGCUUCCUUCG
Phoenix dactylifera (date palm) is the source of this 734-nucleotide non-coding RNA. The record is from RefSeq and is a predicted model, not a curated record. NCBI's taxonomy places the organism in Eukaryota, Viridiplantae, Streptophyta, Magnoliopsida, Arecales, Arecaceae.